CGAAAAAAGACGACGUAAUCCUCGCUUUCGGAUCCCUCUCGUUUCUUGGUGAGAUUGUGAAAGCUCUGGAUACAAUAAGAAGUGAGGUUUGAAAACUAUGGUAGAUCAGGAAAAAGUAAGAGAAGGGGUACGACUGAUACUGGAAGGUAUCGGGGAAGAUAUAAACAGAGAGGGACUGAUAGAGACACCGGACCGUAUUGCGAGAAUGUACUGUGAGCUGGCAGGAG
This 227-nucleotide unclassified non-coding RNA is filed under the name root metagenome. RNAcentral's name for it is "partial internal transcribed spacer 1". The record is from RNAcentral.